RNAcentral lists this ribosomal RNA (253 nucleotides) under uncultured prokaryote. RNAcentral describes it as "partial 16S ribosomal RNA". It matches the Rfam family "Bacterial small subunit ribosomal RNA", at positions 524 to 776 of the family's 1533-position model. The record is from RNAcentral.
UACGUAGGGUGCAAGCGUUAAUCGGAAUUACUGGGCGUAAAGCGUGCGCAGGCGGCUUUGCAAGACAGAUGUGAAAUCCCCGGGCUCAACCUGGGAACUGCAUCUGAUACUGGCAAGCUUGAGUCUCGUAGAGGGGGGUAGAAUUCCAGGUGUAGCGGUGAAAUGCGUAGAGAUCUGGAGGAAUACCGGUGGCGAAGGCGGCCCCCUGGACGAAGACUGACGCUCAGGUGCGAAAGCGUGGGGAGCAAACAGG